UGUAAAGGGAAAGAACCAACAAGGGAUUGCCUCAGUAACGGCGAGUGAAGCGGCAAAGAGCUCAAAUUUGAAAGCUGGCCCCUUCGGGGUCCGCAUUGUAAUUUGCAGAGGAUGCUUCGGGAGCGGCCCCCAUCUAAGUGCCCUGGAACGGGCCGUCAUAGAGGGUGAGAAUCCCGUCUGGGAUGGGGUGCCCGCGCCCGUGUGAAGCUCCUUCGACGAGUCGAGUUGUUUGGGAAUGCAGCUCUAAAUGGGUGGUAAAUUUCAUCUAAAGCUAAAUACUGGCCGGAGACCGAUAGCGCACAAGUAGAGUGAUCGAAAGAUGAAAAGCACUUUGAAAAGAGAGUUAAACAGCACGUGAAAUUGUUGAAAGGGAAGCGCUUGCGACCAGACUCGCUCGCGGGGUUCAGCCGGCCUUCGGGCCGGUGUACUUCCCCGCGGGCGGGCU
RNAcentral lists this ribosomal RNA (445 nucleotides) under Penicillium soli. RNAcentral describes it as "partial large subunit ribosomal RNA". It matches the Rfam family "Eukaryotic large subunit ribosomal RNA", at positions 49 to 497 of the family's 3401-position model. The record is from RNAcentral. Lineage: Eukaryota; Fungi; Ascomycota; Eurotiomycetes; Eurotiales; Aspergillaceae.